This 465-nucleotide ribosomal RNA is filed under the name uncultured bacterium. RNAcentral describes it as "partial 16S ribosomal RNA". It matches the Rfam family "Bacterial small subunit ribosomal RNA", at positions 338 to 795 of the family's 1533-position model. The record is from RNAcentral.
CCUACGUGAGGCAGCAGUAGGGAAUCUUCCACAAUGGGCGAAAGCCUGAUGGAGCAACGCCGCGUGGGUGAAGAAGGUCUUCGGAUCGUAAAACCCUGUUGUUAGAGAAGAAAGUGCGUGAGAGUAACUGUUCACGUUUCGACGGUAUCUAACCAGAAAGCCACGGCUAACUACGUGCCAGCAGCCGCGGUAAUACGUAGGUGGCAAGCGUUAUCCGGAUUUAUUGGGCGUAAAGGGAACGCAGGCGGUCUUUUAAGUCUGAUGUGAAAGCCUUCGGCUUAACCGGAGUAGUGCAUUGGAAACUGGGAGACUUGAGUGCAGAAGAGGAGAGUGGAACUCCAUGGGUAGCGGUGAAAUGCGUAGAUAUAUGGAAGAACACCAGUGGCGAAAGCGGCUCUCUGGUCUGUAACUGACGCUGAGGUUCGAAAGCGUGGGUAGCAAACAGGAUUAGAUACCCGAGUAGUC